Molecule: unclassified non-coding RNA, 368 nt
Filed under: Hevea brasiliensis (rubber tree)
Lineage: Eukaryota; Viridiplantae; Streptophyta; Magnoliopsida; Malpighiales; Euphorbiaceae
Source: RNAcentral
UUGAAGUUUCUUGCAAUUGCCUCUCUAUUUUCUUCUCUCCUUCACGGCAAAAGCUGAAAUUUCUUCCAUUCUUGCAUCAAACAAGAAGCUUGACUUAGGCUUUUGGGCAAAAACACAAAUGACACAACUAUACCGUGAAGAUCCUUCAGCAUCAAUUGAAGCGUUAUACUCACUUGCUUGACAUGGGUGUGCUAGAAAGUACACUGGUUGCAUUGUGAAUGGAGUGAGGUUUCUAACCAAGGAACGUGAUAAUCACCAUAGAAGUCAAAAUAAUGGGAUUGUAGUUGAAGGAAACCAUGGUGAUGAGGUCAUCAAUUUUUAUAGGGUGUUAAAUGAAAUUAUUCAACUAGACUAUGUGAAAAAUAAAC